UGCGCAAUGGGGGAAACCCUGACGCAGCAACGCCGCGUGAAUGAUUAAGCCCUUCGGGGUGUAAAGUUCUGUCAGUAGGGACGAAACUUGACGGUACCUACAGAGGAAGCACCGGCUAACUCCGUGCCAGCAGCCGCGGUAAUACGGAGGGUGCGAGCGUUGUCCGGAAUCAUUGGGCGUAAAGAGUUCGUAGGUGGCAUGUAAAGUCCGGUGUUAAAUGCAGGAGCUCAACUUCUGUUCGGCACUGGAUACUUGCAAGCUAGAAUUCGGUAGAGGUAAAGGGAAUUCCUGGUGUAGCGGUGAAAUGCGUAGAUAUCAGGAGGAACAUCGGUGGCGUAAGCGCUUUACUGGGCCGACAUUGACACUGAGGAACGAAAGCCGGGGUAGCAAAUGGGAUUAGAUACCCCAGUAGUCCCGGCCGUAAACGAUGGAUACUAGGUGUUGCGGGUAUCGACCCCUGCAGUGCCGGAGCUAACGCGUUAAGUAUCCCGCCUGGGGAGUACGCACGCAAGUGUGAAACUCAAAGGAAUUGACGGGGACCCGCACAAGCGGUGGAACAUGUGGUUUAAUUCGAAGCAACGCGAAAAACCUUACCAGGGCUUGACAUCUAACAAAUCUUUGAGAAAUCAGAGAGUGCUCUUCGGAGAAUGUUAAGACAGGUGGUGCACGGUUGUCGUCAGCUCGUGUCGUGAGAUGUUGGGUUAAGUCCCGCAACGAGCGCAACCCUCGUCGUUAGUUGGAUAUAUCGGUAUACUGGUAUAUUCCUCUCUAGCGAGACUGCCGGUGAUAAACCGGAGGAAGGUGGGGACGACGUCAAAUCAUCAUGCCCCUUAUGCUCUGGGCUACACACGUGUUACAAUGGCUGGUACAACGAGCAGCCAACUCGCGAGAGUGAGCAAAUCUCUAAAAACCAGUCUCAGUUCGGAUUGCACUCUGCAACUCGAGUGCAUGAAGUCGGAAUCGCUAGUAAACGCAGAUCAGCACGCUGCGUUGAAUACGUUCCCGGGUCUUGUACACACCGCCCGUCACACCAUGGAAGUCGACCACGCCCGAAGUACGUGAGCUAACCAUUUGGAAGCAGCGUCCUAAGGCAGGGUUGGUGACUGGGGUGAAGUCGUAACAAGGUAGCCGUACCGGAAG
RNAcentral lists this ribosomal RNA (1140 nucleotides) under human gut metagenome. RNAcentral's name for it is "bacterial SSU rRNA". It matches the Rfam family "Bacterial small subunit ribosomal RNA", at positions 365 to 1511 of the family's 1533-position model. The record is from RNAcentral.